RNAcentral lists this ribosomal RNA (643 nucleotides) under uncultured bacterium. Its description in RNAcentral is "bacterial SSU rRNA". It matches the Rfam family "Bacterial small subunit ribosomal RNA", at positions 1 to 640 of the family's 1533-position model. The record is from RNAcentral.
UGAGUUUGAUCAUGGCUCAGAUUGAACGCUGGCGGCAGGCCUAACACAUGCAAGUCGAGCGGUAACAGAGAGAAGCUUGCUUCUUUGCUGACGAGCGGCGGACGGGUGAGUAACGCGUAGGAAUCUACCUAUUAGUGGGGGAUAAGCCAGAGAAAUUUGGUCUAAUACCGCAUACGCCCUACGGGGGAAAGGAGGGGAUCUUCGGACCUUUCGCUAUUAGAUGAGCCUGCGUAAGAUUAGCUAGUUGGUGAGGUAAUGGCUCACCAAGGCGACGAUCUUUAGCUGGUCUGAGAGGAUGAUCAGCCACACUGGGACUGAGACACGGCCCAGACUCCUACGGGAGGCAGCAGUGGGGAAUAUUGGACAAUGGGGGGAACCCUGAUCCAGCCAUGCCGCGUGUGUGAAGAAGGCCUUCGGGUUGUAAAGCACUUUCAGAUGUGAGGAAAGGUGAGUAGUUAAUACCUGCUUACUGUGACGUUAGCAUCAGAAGAAGGACCGGCUAACUCCGUGCCAGCAGCCGCGGUAAUACGGAGGGUCCGAGCGUUAAUCGGAAUUACUGGGCGUAAAGCGCGCGUAGGUGGUUUUGUCAGUCAGAUGUGAAAGCCCAGGGCUCAACCUUGGAACUGCACCUGAUACUGCAAGA